This 253-nucleotide ribosomal RNA is filed under the name uncultured bacterium. RNAcentral's name for it is "partial 16S ribosomal RNA". It matches the Rfam family "Bacterial small subunit ribosomal RNA", at positions 524 to 776 of the family's 1533-position model. The record is from RNAcentral.
UACGUAGGUGGCAAGCGUUGUCCGGAAUGAUUGGGCGUAAAGGGCGCGCAGGCGGCUGUGUAAGUCUGUCUAGAAAGUGCGGGGCUAAACCCCGUGAGAGGAUGGAAACUGGACAGCUGAGAGUGUCGGAGAGGAAAGCGGAAUUCCUAGUGUAGCGGUGAAAUGCGUAGAUAUUAGGAGGAACACCGGUGGCGAAAGCGGCUUUCUGGACGACAACUGACGCUGAGGCGCGAAAGCCAGGGGAGCAAACGGG